RNAcentral lists this ribosomal RNA (497 nucleotides) under uncultured bacterium. RNAcentral describes it as "partial 16S ribosomal RNA". It matches the Rfam family "Bacterial small subunit ribosomal RNA", at positions 28 to 507 of the family's 1533-position model. The record is from RNAcentral.
GACGAACGCUGGCGGCGUGCCUAAUACAUGCAAGUUGAGCGAUGAAGAUUGGUGCUUGCACCAAUUUGAAGAGCAGCGAACGGGUGAGUAACGCGUGGGGAAUCUGCCUUUGAGCGGGGGACAACAUUUGGAAACGAAUGCUAAUACCGCAUAACAACUUUAAACAUAAGUUUUAAGUUUGAAAGAUGCAAUUGCAUCACUCAAAGAUGAUCCCGCGUUGUAUUAGCUAGUUGGUGAGGUAAAGGCUCACCAAGGCGAUGAUACAUAGCCGACCUGAGAGGGUGGUCGGCCACCUUGGGACUGGGACACGGCCCAAACUCCUACGGGAGGGAGCAGGAGGGGAUCUUCGGCAAUGGACGGAAGGCUGACCGAGCAACGCCGGGGGAGUGAAGAAAGGUUUCGGGUCGGAAAACUGUGUUGGUAGAGAAGAACGUUGGUGAGAGUGGAAAGCUCAGCAAGUGACGGUAACUACCCAGAAAGGAACGGCUAACUACGUG